UUAUUAGGUUGGUGCAAAGGUAAUUGCGGUUUGUGCCAUCACUCUCAAUAGCAAAAACUGCAAUAACCUUUGCACCAACCU
RNAcentral lists this microRNA precursor (81 nucleotides) under Chlorocebus sabaeus (green monkey). Its description in RNAcentral is "miRNA (ENSCSAG00000026096.1)". Lineage: Eukaryota; Metazoa; Chordata; Mammalia; Primates; Cercopithecidae. The record is from RNAcentral.